RNAcentral lists this ribosomal RNA (1437 nucleotides) under Lacticaseibacillus rhamnosus. Its description in RNAcentral is "bacterial SSU rRNA". It matches the Rfam family "Bacterial small subunit ribosomal RNA". Lineage: Bacteria; Bacillati; Bacillota; Bacilli; Lactobacillales; Lactobacillaceae. The record is from RNAcentral.
ACAUGCAAGUCGAACGAGUUCUGAUUAUUGAAAGGUGCUUGCAUCUUGAUUUAAUUUUGAACGAGUGGCGGACGGGUGAGUAACACGUGGGUAACCUGCCCUUAAGUGGGGGAUAACAUUUGGAAACAGAUGCUAAUACCGCAUAAAUCCAAGAACCGCAUGGUUCUUGGCUGAAAGAUGGCGUAAGCUAUCGCUUUUGGAUGGACCCGCGGCGUAUUAGCUAGUUGGUGAGGUAACGGCUCACCAAGGCAAUGAUACGUAGCCGAACUGAGAGGUUGAUCGGCCACAUUGGGACUGAGACACGGCCCAAACUCCUACGGGAGGCAGCAGUAGGGAAUCUUCCACAAUGGACGCAAGUCUGAUGGAGCAACGCCGCGUGAGUGAAGAAGGCUUUCGGGUCGUAAAACUCUGUUGUUGGAGAAGAAUGGUCGGCAGAGUAACUGUUGUCGGCGUGACGGUAUCCAACCAGAAAGCCACGGCUAACUACGUGCCAGCAGCCGCGGUAAUACGUAGGUGGCAAGCGUUAUCCGGAUUUAUUGGGCGUAAAGCGAGCGCAGGCGGUUUUUUAAGUCUGAUGUGAAAGCCCUCGGCUUAACCGAGGAAGUGCAUCGGAAACUGGGAAACUUGAGUGCAGAAGAGGACAGUGGAACUCCAUGUGUAGCGGUGAAAUGCGUAGAUAUAUGGAAGAACACCAGUGGCGAAGGCGGCUGUCUGGUCUGUAACUGACGCUGAGGCUCGAAAGCAUGGGUAGCGAACAGGAUUAGAUACCCUGGUAGUCCAUGCCGUAAACGAUGAAUGCUAGGUGUUGGAGGGUUUCCGCCCUUCAGUGCCGCAGCUAACGCAUUAAGCAUUCCGCCUGGGGAGUACGACCGCAAGGUUGAAACUCAAAGGAAUUGACGGGGGCCCGCACAAGCGGUGGAGCAUGUGGUUUAAUUCGAAGCAACGCGAAGAACCUUACCAGGUCUUGACAUCUUUUGAUCACCUGAGAGAUCAGGUUUCCCCUUCGGGGGCAAAAUGACAGGUGGUGCAUGGUUGUCGUCAGCUCGUGUCGUGAGAUGUUGGGUUAAGUCCCGCAACGAGCGCAACCCUUAUGACUAGUUGCCAGCAUUUAGUUGGGCACUCUAGUAAGACUGCCGGUGACAAACCGGAGGAAGGUGGGGAUGACGUCAAAUCAUCAUGCCCCUUAUGACCUGGGCUACACACGUGCUACAAUGGAUGGUACAACGAGUUGCGAGACCGCGAGGUCAAGCUAAUCUCUUAAAGCCAUUCUCAGUUCGGACUGUAGGCUGCAACUCGCCUACACGAAGUCGGAAUCGCUAGUAAUCGCGGAUCAGCACGCCGCGGUGAAUACGUUCCCGGGCCUUGUACACACCGCCCGUCACACCAUGAGAGUUUGUAACACCCGAAGCCGGUGGCGUAACCCUUUUAGGGAGCGAG